This 21-nucleotide unclassified non-coding RNA is filed under the name synthetic construct. The record is from RNAcentral.
GAACUGGAAGACAACCCCAUU